AUCCAACCAACUAUAGCUGGACCAAGUUCCAAUGGCCUCUGCUCUGUUCUCAGCACCCGUUGCUUCCUUCAAAGCCACACCAAAACCAGGGAAUUGCUUGGGCUAUCACUACAAUAAGAAUCAUUUUCGAGAUGACUUGUGCCAGAGUUCUGCAGCCACUAAAUUCGGCAAUAUAAAAGCUAAGGCUGAAAAAAGUGACCAAAGCCCCAAACCGAAUAGCGUGAUUUGUGCCGACUGUGAUGGAAAUGGUGCAGUUCUAUGCUCGCAAUGCAAAGGUAGUGGAGUGAACUCUGUUGAUCUUUUCAACGGACAGUUUAAAGCUGGAGACUCAUGUUGGCUCUGCGGAGGUAGAAAAGAGAUGCUAUGUGGAAAUUGCAAUGGAGCUGGUUUUGUUGGAGGUUUUCUGAGCACUUUUGAUGAAUAGAAAUUAGAAAUUGUGUGCUGGAUGAAGAGUAUUUGUUCCAUGCAUAGAAGUAUGAUUUGGUCCAGUAUCCUCAGAGUUAGAGCGUGUGUAUAUGUUUGUGCAUACAAAUCAGAAUUGCCUGCGAAUCUUGACCUAAUUAGGUAGGAGAUGGAAGAUCCUGCAACCUGAAGAGGCAGUGCAAAUUUGGAAAAGUUGUUCAGUUUGAUUUGGAUCCAAAAUUGACUGGGAUUUUUCUUUGCCAAGCAUUGCUUAAAUUGCCUUUUGAUUUAUUCAGCACUCCAAAGACCAUUGUCCUUA
Juglans regia (Persian walnut) is the source of this 721-nucleotide RNA transcript. It is a transcript of the gene named protein BUNDLE SHEATH DEFECTIVE 2, chloroplastic-like, with no coding region annotated. The transcript has 6 exons. Lineage: Eukaryota; Viridiplantae; Streptophyta; Magnoliopsida; Fagales; Juglandaceae. The record is from RefSeq and is a predicted model, not a curated record.